AUCUAUUAACAUCAAAUUAAUCACGUUUUUAUGUUAAAAUUUAAAUUGGGAAAACAUUUAUGUCAAAUAAAAAAAAAGUUCAGCGGAAAAAAAAUCGCAGAAGAAUCCAGAAACGUCCUGCCAAAAAAAAAAAAAAGAGAAAUCGAUGAACGCCAAAACAAAGGGUUGUAACGUUCGGCGUCUAGAGAGCUUCGCCGGAACGGAGAGCCGUAAUUGGAGAGUCGAUCGGAGAAUUCUGCGCAACGGUGAUCCUCUCUUGCGAAGGUUGUAUGUUCGCUCUAGGUUUCUGUAAGUGGUUCGAUCUCCACGCCGCGAUUCUUUUGUAAGAUUUGUGGGAACGAACUCGUACUGCUUUCGAGAAAUUUGAAGCGUUUGGGAUGGUCGUCGCGGUUUAAUUGAGUAUUUACUGUUUAGAUUUGAAUUUUCUCGAACAUGUUUUGUUUGCCUCUGUGUUGUGUUCGUCGUCCUGACGGAUAUUGUGUGAGGAUCGAGAUUUUUUGGCGUAUUUUCCGCGAGAUCAUGUCGGUGUUACUGAUUUUGUUCAUGUACCAAGUAGCUUGUAUCCGUUUCUGCGAAAAGAAUGUUGAAAUCGCUUAUGCCUAUCCACCAUAUUAUAUCCAUUUGUACUCUUGAGAUUGAUGCAAUUUCCAAAAUGGUUUUUCUGUUUCUGCUCAUGGGUUAUCAAGUAUAUAAUGUGCUUAAGAGAUAAAAAAUAUAAAUCAACUGCGAUUCAGAUAUAUUAUAGAAAGUAGAAACAAUCUGUCACUGCUUUGUCACUGAUCUGGCAAGCUAUGGCUAUGUAGCAUGACAUACAGACACUUAUGUAUCAAUAAACAUUGAUGUGAAGUAGUGAAUGAGUUGAUUUUUUAUGUUGACCUACGUAUAAGUGUUUUCUUCAGUGUUCAUUGAGCGUUUGACAUGUCAAGACACUGUUGGACAACCAGCAUGAAAUCCCCAGACCAAGAACCCUAUAUCGGUUGGAAAGAAUUGGUGCAUGAUGAAAGAAAUUUAAAUGGCAUUUAAGAAUACUGUUUGAUGGGCUUGAGUUAACAAAGAUGCCUUGCACAAUAAUUAUAUUUCCCCUCUUAGAAUGGAGGGGAAUAAAAGUAAGGAGAAACAAGUUUGCUAGUUUCAAUAUCAGUCGAUGAAGUUAAAAACUCUGGUUCUUUUUCCUUUUGAUACUUUUGUGUAUUAGACUUGGUGAUGGUCAGAUUAGUCAAUUUCUAGUAAAUGAAUUAGAAUAAUCCAUUUUUAGUCAGCAUUUUCUUGAACUUUAAAAAAAGAUUUGCAUUUAUGACUUCAAAAUGCUACUAAAUACUUUUGCUUGUAGUUUUUAUUCGGCCUAGCCUUUCCAUCCACAUAUCCUUUCAUUUUGGUUGGACAUAUAUGGAGAUUCCAUAAACUUUCAUGAGCUAAUUUCGUGGCUAAGAGCAUGUGGCACAUAUGCAUAUAUCUGUUUCUGCUUUAGCUUUCCAUGGUACAUGCAAUAAUUACUCCACAAAAAGAGCAGGAAUUUUUGUUGUUGCUGUUUUGUUUUUGUUUUUUUUAUGGGCCGAUUUGGCUCAGCGGUAAGCUCACUUGCUGUGGGGUAUGAGGUCGCGGGUUCGAAUCAGCCUCACUGCAUAAAAAGCAGGGGUAAAGCUGUCUAGUAUGUUCCCUUCCCCAUCAUUCCGACUCGAACUGGUGGCAGACUGUGAAGACUUGCAAAAGAGAGUCGCUUGACAUCUCUGCUCAGUGUGACACGAUCCAGUUAUUGUUGUGAUCCAUUACCUGGAGCCCCUGGCCACUCUGGAGUAAUAUGGUGAGUGCGCCGUAAUCUGAGUGUGGUGGCAUUCCCAAGGUAAUUUCUGGUUCGGGACAUGCUGGAUAGCAAUUCACAGCUAUGACUUGUGAGCCGUCUUCAAUCUCUUCUUGCCAUACGUAUCUCGUGGAUUGUCUGUGAUCUAUGGGAAGGUUGGUCCAAGAGGGAAAGAUCAAUGACAGGAAGGGCGGUGUUGAUGUUUGGACGAAGAAGGGCUGGUCGUUGUGAGGGCGGGAGAACGUAACGGGAAGGCACCCGAGCAGCCCCUGACUCGUGUUGGGAGAAAUGGCUCUUCGAUUAAAAAAACAAGAUAGAGAGGUGGCCCUUUGUUAUUACGUAUCGGGGAAGAGAGGAUGGCUAGUUGCACCUUUUGCUACUCGGACUAAUGAUCUGCGGAGAUGGUGGUAAGCUGAGUUCAGGUAAGCUCAACGGUUUUUAUCCCUUGGAAUAGUGGGCACCUUCUUCUUUUAACUCAGGAGAUACUGAGGACAGGAUACUAAGCUUCUUUUCUGUGUACGCCGUUCAUGAGGUAGAAAUUAUCAUCGUCAUCAUUAUUAUUCUAUUAUUCUUUUGUUUAAACACGGAGGACAGACGAUUCCAAAAUAUUUCAGAGGUACGUCAUUCGUAAGGUUGAAAUUUAGGUCGAGGUUCACUGGAAGAAAUAAAUACGCGACCGUUUGCUUUUUUUUAUUUAUUAUUAUUAUAUUAAAAACUAGAUAACUAUUAGAUGGUUUAUUGGGUUUUUAUUUUUUGGCCGAUAAGUUUAUUGAGUUUUUUUUUUUGGGAGGUAUCUGCAUGCAAAGGCGCAUCUGUAUACCAAGAAAAAAGCUAAGUUUUGUAUUUUUUUUCCUCCUUAAAACAGAGGUAGGGGUGGUGUUUCUCUGAGAGGGUCCUUCUCGUGGGUUAGCAAGUGUUUGACCACUUGACCUAUGAGUCUAUGACAGUUGCCACUUGCCACCUCUUGCCUUUUUACUUCUCUGUGGUACCAAAGCCCGGGUUUUGUUUUUUUUGGGCUGUCGAAUGGCCGAGACACGUUUGAUGGGCUUGGGGUUGGUCUUGGUUUUCGGCUUCGGCUUUUGACUGAAGCCCAUAUUGGCAGAGUUCGUGUAUUGGUGUUUCUAGUUUAUCGUAUCCAUGAAGAAGAAGAAAAAAGAAGAAAAUCAUUCUCUCUCAAUUUUCAGAAAUGCUUUUGUCUGGUUUAUGUUUUUUGUUUUUGGUAAAGUUUGUCCAGUGGGUUUGAACUCGUGUGAAGGGAUAUUGUACAUUUUCACCUUAUAAUUCUGUCAUUCCACACACUGGGUAUGGUUUAUGUUCUUUGUCUUUGUCCAGGAAAACUUACGGUGCCUCAUCGGAAUAUUGCAAGGUACUUUCUUUGUCAUCGUAA
This is a long non-coding RNA of Tarenaya hassleriana, 3185 nucleotides long. RefSeq lists it as uncharacterized. The transcript is spliced from 5 exons. The record is from RefSeq and is a predicted model, not a curated record. Lineage: Eukaryota; Viridiplantae; Streptophyta; Magnoliopsida; Brassicales; Cleomaceae.